GAGUUUGAUCGUGGCUCAGGAUGAACGCUGGCGGCGUGCUUAACACAUGCAAGUCGAGCGAAGCGCUUUGAAGUUUUCGGACGGAGAAGUGACUGAGCGGCGGACGGGUGAGUAACGCGUGGGUAACCUGCCUCGUACAGGGGGAUAACAGUUAGAAAUGACUGCUAAUACCGCAUAAGCGCACAGUACCGCAUGGUACGGUGCGAAAAACUCCGGUGGUAUGAGAUGGACCCGCGUCUGAUUAGGUAGUUGGCGGGUAA
This 260-nucleotide ribosomal RNA is filed under the name uncultured bacterium. RNAcentral's name for it is "partial 16S ribosomal RNA". It matches the Rfam family "Bacterial small subunit ribosomal RNA", at positions 9 to 259 of the family's 1533-position model. The record is from RNAcentral.